This 497-nucleotide ribosomal RNA is filed under the name uncultured bacterium. RNAcentral's name for it is "partial 16S ribosomal RNA". It matches the Rfam family "Bacterial small subunit ribosomal RNA", at positions 28 to 507 of the family's 1533-position model. The record is from RNAcentral.
GAUGAACGCUGGCGGCGUGCCUAAUACAUGCAAGUCGAGCGAACGGACGAGAAGCUUGCUUCUCUGAUGUUAGCGGCGGACGGGUGAGUAACACGUGUAUAACCUACCUAUAAUACUGGUAUAACUUCGGGAAACCGGAUCUAAUACCGGAGAAUAUUUUGAACCGCAUUGGUCAAAAGUGAAAGACGGUCUUGCUGUCACUUAUAGAUGGAUCCGCGCUGCAUUAGCUAGUUGGUAAGGUAACGGGUUACCAAGGCAACGAUGCAUAGCCGACCUGAGAGGGUGAUCGGCCACACGGGAAGUGAGACACGGUCCAGACGCCUACGGGAGGCAGCAGUAGGGAAUCUUCCGCAAUGGGCGAAAGCCUGACGGAGCAACGCGGAGUGAGUGAUGACGGUCUUCGGAUCGUGAAAAUCUGUUAUUAGGGAAGAACAUAUGUGUAAGUAACUGUGCCCAUCUUGACGGUAACUAAUCAGAAAGCCACGGCUAACUACGUG